This is a long non-coding RNA of Hipposideros armiger (great roundleaf bat), 694 nucleotides long. RefSeq lists it as uncharacterized. NCBI's taxonomy places the organism in Eukaryota, Metazoa, Chordata, Mammalia, Chiroptera, Hipposideridae. The record is from RefSeq and is a predicted model, not a curated record. The transcript has 5 exons.
CCUGCAAUAUUUCAGCUCAGUGAGGUCACAAGGAAAACUUAGUUAAAGCCUUAUUAGAGCAGUUUACAGGAGCGCAGUACUGUGAAUAUGAAAUUAGAGUUUCGCCUUGAUGGAUGUGUCACCUACCCAAGUUGGAAUUCAGUGCCUUCUGGAGAUGCCUUUGCCUGCUGAGGAUGAAAGCUGCCUACAAAGUGCUAAAAAAUGAGAGUCCUUCAUAAGCUUUCUACACACUUUGCAACCCCAACACCUGCACAGCUCCUACACCAAUGCAGAAGAAGGUCAGAUAUAAUUCAAGGGUUCACCCUUCAACCUUACUGCAACUUGGGAAUCUCUGAACUUACUCCAGCUCCCAGGAUGAGGAACGGAGGGCUCUCACAGUGAUCCUGAAGUCUGACUUCUACCACCAAGACUGGAGAACUAGGUGUCUCCUCGUAAGGGUAAGGGUGAACCAGAAGUAAAUGAGCUCCCACGUAAGCUGAAACUCAGCUUCAAGCCAUGGGCCAGCAGCAUGUGUGAGGGACACCGCUGGAUCUCACCGUCAUGAAACUUGCUGAAACCCCAGCGAAUGGUUCCUGCUCAUCAGCCUUGUGCCAAGACUUCCUGCUCACCUGUCAGCUUGUGUUUUCCUGCAUGCCAGUCUCAGCCUCCCCUCUCCCCAGCAGGAUGUCGUCUGCUUACCAAACUUGGCCAGUGA